Molecule: ribosomal RNA, 259 nt
Filed under: uncultured bacterium
Lineage: Bacteria
Description: partial 16S ribosomal RNA
Rfam family: Bacterial small subunit ribosomal RNA
Source: RNAcentral
CGCACGGGUGAGUAACGCGUAUGCGACCUGCCCGUUGCAGGGGGAUAAUCGGGAGAAAUCCCGUCUAAUACCGCGUAACGCCGCGGGGCUGCAUGGCCCUGCGGCCAAAGGGAGCGAUUCCGGCAACGGAUGGGCAUGCGUGACAUUAGCUAGUUGGCGGGGCAACGGCCCACCAAGGCGACGAUGUCUAGGGGUUCUGAGAGGAAGGUCCCCCACACUGGUACUGAGACACGGACCAGACUCCUACGGGAGGCAGCAG